UGAUCUACAGGCAGAUAUGCUGCCCACCUUUGUCCUCACUGGCCUGGCACGCUCAGCCUCCUGCGAGGCCUGUGGGUUUUGUCUCCUCGCACUGUCACGGUCUCGGGGCCCCAGUCUGUCUCCAGCUCGGGGGCUCCUCCUCCCCAGUGUUCAGGGUCGGACCCCCGUUCCCAAGUCCAGCUCUGGGAACAGGCAGCACGGGCUGCCCACAGGCCCCAGGAGGUCCUCCCACCUCCUCGGCCUCCCAGGGCCCCAAAGCCUGGCUCUCUGGCCCGCAAGGGGCAGCCCCGGGCCCCAAGCCAUCCCACAACGCCUGAGCCCCGCUGCCAUCCUCAGCGGCAGCCAGGCCCAUGACAAAUGUGGGGAGGGCCCCGUUCCCCAAACUCAUUGGCCUCCCAAGCCCGCAGGGCCCCGCAAACGCACAGAGGGACCAGGGCUCCGAAACAGCCUCCUUCCCGGCCUUCUCCCCUGCUGCCCUUCGGGGCUCACUGAGCUGGGAGGAGAACACCCUCCAUCCAGGAAGGAGGGCACGAUGGGCCCCUGGCUCUGACACCCCGGGGAUGCUGACGGAGCCCAAGCGGCGGAAGCAGCUGGUUCAGCACCAGCUCAGGGGAUCUCCAAGCACUGGUUAGACGCCUCUGCGUACCAGGCUCACCGAGAGUGCCCAGAGCCUGCGGCCACGGAGCUGCCCCUCUGGAAAGGCUCGGGGGCGGACGGUCGGCCUCCCACGGGGCCCCGCCCCCUCGGCCAGGUCCCACCCCCACUCCUACAGCCCCGGCCUGGGCCGCUGUCCCCUCCUGUCCUCUUCUGGUCCCUCGGACCCCGCCAUGCCCCGCGGAAGCCGCAGCACCCCUGCGCCUACCUCGUCGGGCAGGCUCCCCAGCCAGUGCCGGCAGCCCCUUCGCGGCCCUGCUACUAUGAAAUCAAGCAGUUCCUGGACUGUUCAACCACACAGAAUGACCUAACCUUGUGUGAGGGCUUCAGUGAGGCCCUGAAGCAAUGCCAGCGCAG
RNA transcript from Dromiciops gliroides (monito del monte), 1011 nucleotides. It is a transcript of the gene named coiled-coil-helix-coiled-coil-helix domain containing 10, with no coding region annotated. NCBI's taxonomy places the organism in Eukaryota, Metazoa, Chordata, Mammalia, Microbiotheria, Microbiotheriidae. The record is from RefSeq and is a predicted model, not a curated record. The transcript is spliced from 2 exons.